Mesoplodon densirostris (Blainville's beaked whale) is the source of this 6772-nucleotide long non-coding RNA. RefSeq lists it as uncharacterized. The record is from RefSeq and is a predicted model, not a curated record. The transcript is spliced from 2 exons. NCBI's taxonomy places the organism in Eukaryota, Metazoa, Chordata, Mammalia, Artiodactyla, Ziphiidae.
CGAAAAUGAAACCUAGAGGCUGAACUGCUAUUGUUCGAGAGUACAUAAUGGCAAAACCAAAACUCAAACCCAGAGCUAUGGCAGAGUCUUCUGCAAGCAAUUUCUAGAGUUUUGGCCUAGCAUCAACACAUGGUUGCCCAAGACUUGUUCAAAUUGGAGGAAUAGAAGGAUGUUUGCUCACUCCUUCUUGUGAGAGCACCUGAAUUACAAUUAACUGCUGAACAAUCAUUGACAAGAAGACACUGGAACUCACCAGAAAAUAUACCCCACAUUCAAAGGCGAAGGAGAAGCCACAAUUAGAUGAUAGGAGGGGCACAAUCAUGAUAAAAUCAAAUCUCAUAACCACUGGAUGGGUGAAUCACAAACUGGAGAACAAUUAUACCAGAGAAAUCCACUCAUUUGAGUGAAGGUUCUGAGCCACACAUCAGGCUUCCCAACCUGGGGGUCCAGAAAGGAGAGGAGGAAUCCCCAGAGAACUGGACUAUUAAGGCCAGCAGGAUUUGAUUGCAGGACUUUGACAAGACUGGGGGAAACAGAGACUCCACUCUUGGAGGGUACACACAAAAUCUUCUGUGCACCAGGACCCAGGGGGAAGGAUCAGUGACCACAUAGGAGAUGGAACCAGACCUACCUGCUAAUGUUGGAGUGUCUACUGUGGAGGUAGGGGGCAGCUGUGGCUCAUCACGGGACAAGGACACUGACAGCAGAAGUUCUGGGAAGUACUCAUUUUUGUGAGCCAUCAAAGAGUCUGCCAUUAGACUCACCAAAGAGCCAGUUGGCUCCAGUACUGGGUCAUCUCAGGCCAAACAGCCAACAGCAAGGGAACACAGUCCCAUGCAUCAGCAGACAAGUGGAUUAAAGUUAUACUGAGCUCUGCCCACCAGAGCAACACCCAGAUCUACCCACCACAAGUUCCUCUACCCACCAUCAAGAAGCUUGUACAAGCCUCUUAGAUAGCCUCAUCCACCAAAGGGCAGACAGCAGAAGCAAGAAGAACUACAAUCCUGCAGCCUGUGGAACAAAACCCACAAUCAUAGAAAGAUAGAUAAAAUGAAAAGGCAGAGGAUUAAGUUCCCAGAUAAAAGAACAAGAUAAAACCCCAGAAAAACAACUAAAUGAAGUGGAGAUAGGUGACAUUCCAGAAAAAUAAUUCAAAAUAAUAAGAGUGAAGAUGAUCCAGGACCUCGGAAAAAGAAUGGAGGCAAGGAUCAAGAAGAUGCAAAAAAUGUUUAACAAAGAUGUAGAAGAAUUAAAGAACAAACAAACAGAGAUGAAUAAUACAAUAACUGAAAUGAAAAAUACAUUAGAAGGAAUCAAUAGCAGAAUAACUUAGACAGAAGAACGGAUAAGUGACCUGGAAGACAGAAUGGUGGAAAUCACUGCUGUGGAACAGAAUAAAGAAAAAAGAAUGAACAGAAAUGAAGACAGCCUAAGAGACCUCUGGGACAACAUUAAAUGCAACAACAUUCACAUUAUAGGGGUCCCAGAAGGAGAAGAGAGAGAGAAAGGACCUGAGAAAAUAUUUGAAGAGGUUAGAGUAAAAAACUUCCCUAACACAGGAAAGGAAAUAGCCACCCAAGUCCAGGAAGCACAGAGAAUGCCAGGCAUGAUAAACCCAGGAGAAACAUGCCAAGAUACAUAGUAAUCAAAAUGACAAAAAUUAAAGACAAAAAAUAUUAUUAAGAGUAUCAAGGGAAAAGCAACAAAUAAUAUACAAGGUAAUCCUUAUAAGGUAAUCAGCUGAUUUUCAGCAGAAACUCUACCAGCCAAAAGGGAGUGACAGGACAUAUUUAAAGUGAUGAAAGGGAAAAGUCUACAACCAAGAAUACUCUACCCUGCAAGGCUCUCAUUCAGAUUUGAUGGAGAAAUCAAAAGUUUUACAGACAAGCAAAAGCUAAGAGAAUUCAGCACCACCAGACCAUCUUUGCAACAAAUGCUAAAGGAAAUCCUCUAGGUGGGAAAGAGACUAGCAACUUAAAACAACCUUGUACAUAUAUAGACUGUUGCAUCAAAACCUCAUGGGAACAGCAAACCCCAAACUACAAUACAUACACACACACAAAAGAAAAAGCAACCCAAACACAACACUAAAGAUGGCAUCAAACCACAAGAGAAGGGAACAAAAGAGGAAGGAAAGAAAAAAAGACCUACAAAAACAAACUCAAAAUAAUUAAGAAAAUGGCAAUAGGAACACACAUAUUGAUAAUUACUUAAAUGUAAAUGGAUUAAAUGCACCAACCAAAAGACAUAGACUGGCUGAAUGAAUACAAAUAUAAGACCCAUAUAUAUGCUGUCUACAAGAGACCCACCUCAGAUCUAGGGACACAUACAGACUGAAAGUGAGGGGAUGGAAGAAGGUAUUCCAUGCAAAUAGAAAUCAAAACAAAGCUGGAGUAGCAAUACUCAUAUCAGACAAAAUAGACUUAAAAAUAAAGACUGUUAUAAGAGACAAAGAAGGACACUACAUAACAACCAAGGGAUCAAUCCAAGAAGAAGACAUAACAAUUGUAAACAUAUAUGCGCCAAAUAUAGUAGCACCUAAAUAUAUAAGGCAAAUAUUAAUUAGCCAUAAAGGGAGAAAUCAACAGUAACACAAUAAUAGUGGGGAACUUUAACAUCCCACUUUCAUCAAUGGACAGAUCAUCUGAACAGAAAAUCAAUAAGGAAACACAGGCCUUAAAUGAAACUUUAGACCAGAUGGACUUAAUCAAUAUUUAUACAGCACUCUAUCCCAAAGUAGAAGAAUAUACAUUCUUCUCAAGUGCACAUGGAACAUUAUCCAGGAUUGACCACAUCCUGGGCCACAAAGUGAGCUUCCAUAAAUUUAAGAAAAUUGAAAUCAUAUAAAGUAUGUUUUUCAACCACAAUGCUGAGAUUAGAAAUAAACUACAAGAAAAAAACUAUAAAAAAUACAAACACAGGCUUCCCUGGUGGCACAGUGGUUGAGAGUCUGCCUGCUGAUGUGGGGGACACGGGUUCAUGCCCCAGUCUGGGAAGAUCCCACAUGCCACUGAGCGGCUGGGCCCGUGAGCCAUGGCCUCUGAGCCUGCACAUCUGGAGCCUGUGCUCUGCAACGGGAGAGGCCACGACAGUGAGAGGUCCGUGUAGUGCAAAAAAUAAAAAAAUAAAAAAUACAAACACGUGAAGGCUAAACAAUAUAUUACUAAAUAACCAAUGGAUCACUGAAGAAACCAAAAAGGAAAUAAAAAAUGUACCUAGAGACAAAUGAAAAUGAAAACACAAUGAUCCAAAACCUAUGGGAUACAGCAAAAGCAUUUCUAAGAAAAAAGGAAAGAAUUUCAUAGGAAUACAGGUCCCAAUACAGGAAACAAGAAAAAUCUCAAGUAAACAACCUAACCUUACACCUAAAGCAACUAGAGAAAGAAAAAGAAACAAAACUCAAAGUUAGUAGAAGGAAAGAGAUCAUAAAAAUCAGAGCAGAAAUAAAUGAAACCGAGACAAAUAAGACAAUGAAAAAGAUCAAUGAAACUAAAAGCUGGUUCUUUGAAAAGAUAAACAAUAUUGGUAAACUUUUAUCCAGACUCAUCAAGAAAAAAGAGGGGAGACAAUUCAAAUCAAUAAAAUAAUAAAUGAAAAAGGAGAAGUUAAAACUGACACCACAGAAAUACAAAGGAUCAUAAGAGACUACUAUAUGCAACUGUAUGCCAAUAAAAUGGACAACCUGGAAGAAAUGGACAAAUUCUUAGAAAUGUAGUCUCCCAAGACUGAACCAGGAAGAAUUAGAAAACAUGAACAGACUAAUCACAAGCACUGAAAUUGAAACUGAUAUUAAAAAACUCCCAACAAACAAUAUUACAGGACCAAAUGUCUUCACAAGCAAAUUCUAUCAAACAUUUAGAGAAGAGCUAACACCUAUAGUUCUGAAACUGUUCCAAAAAUUGCAGAGGAAGGAAAAUUCCCAAACUCAUUCUUUGAUGCCAUCACCCUGAUACCAAAACAAGACAAAGAUACAGCUAAAAAGGAAAAUUAUAGGCCAAUAUCACUGAUGAACAUAGAUGCAAAAAUCCUCAACAGAGGGCUUCCCUGGUGGCGCAGUGGUUGAGAGUCCGCCUGCCGAUACAGGAGACAUGGGUUCAUGCCCCAGUCCAGGAAGAUCCCACAUGCCGUGGAGCGGCUAGGCCCAUGAGCCAUGACCGCUGAGCCUGCGUGUCUGGAGCCUGUGCUCCGCAACGGAAGAGGCCACAACAAUGAGAGGGCUGCAUACCGCAAAAAAAAAAAAAAAAAAAAAAAAAAAAUCCUCAACAGAAUACUAGGAAUUUGAAUCCAACAACACAUUAAAAGGACCAUACACCAUGAUCAAGUGGGAUUUAUCCCAGGGUUGCAAGGAUUUUUCAAUAUAUGCAAAUCAGUGUGAUACACCAUAUCAACAAAUUGAAGAAUAAAAACCAUAUGAUCAUCUCAAUAGCUGCAAGAAAAGCUUUUGACAAGAUUCAACAGUCAUUUAUGAUAAAAACUCUCCAGAAAGUGGGCAUAGGAGGAACCUACCUCAAUAUAAUAAAGGCCAUAUACGACACCCCACAGCAAACAUCAUUCUCAAUGGUGAAAACCUGAAAGCAUUACCUCUAAGAUCAGGAACAAGACAAGGAUGUCCACUCUCACCACUAUUAUUCAACAUAGUUUUGGAAGUCCUAGCUACGGCAAUCAAAGAAGAAAAAGAAACAAAAGGAAUCCAAAUUGGAAAAGAAGAAGUAAAACUGUCACUGUUUGCAGGUGACAUGAUACUAUGCAUAGAAAAUCCUAAAGAUGCCAGCAGAAAACUACUGUAGCUAAUCAAUGAAUUUGGUAAAUUUGCAAGCUAUAUAAUUAAUACACAGAAAUCUGUUGUAUUUCUAUACACUAACAAUGAAAGAUCAGAAAGAGAAAUUCAAUAAACAAUCCCAUUUACCAUUGCACCAAAAAGAAUAAAAUACCUAGGAAUAAACCUACCUAAUGAGACAAAAACCUGUAUUCCGAAAACUAUAAGAUGCUGAGGAAAGAAAUCAAAGAAGAUACAUACAGAUGGAAAGAUAUACCAUAUUCUUGGGCUGGAAGAAUAAAUCUUCUCAAAAUGGCUAUACUACCCAAGGCAAUCUACAGAUUCAAUGUAACUCUAUCAAAUUACCAAUGGCAUUUUUCACAGAAAUAGGACAAAAAUCUUAAAAUUUGUAUGGAGACACAAAAGACCCUGAAUAGCCAAAACAAUCUUGAGAAAGAAAAGUGGAGCUGGAGGAAUCAGGCUCCCUGACUGACUUCAGACUAUACUACAAAGCUAUAGUCAUCAAAACAGUAUGGUACUGGCACAAAAAUAGAGCUAUAGAUCAAGGGAACAAGAUAGAAAGCCCAGAAAUAAACCCAUUCACCUAUGGUCAAUUAAUCUACAACAAAGGAGGCAAGACUAUACAAUGGUGGAAAGACAGUCUUUUUAAAAAAUGUGCUGGGAAAACUGGACAGCUACAUGUAAAAAAAUGAUAUUAGAUCAUUCUUUAAUAGUAUGAACAAAAAUAAGUUUAAAAUGGAUUAAAGACCUAAAAGUGAGACCAGACACUAUAAAACUCCUAGAGGAAAACAUAGGCAGAACACUCUGAAAUAACUCGCAGCAAUAUCAUUUCUAAUCCGACUUCCAAAGUAAUGGAAAUAAAAACAAAAAUAAACAAAUGGGACUUAAUUAAACUCAAAAGCUUUUGCAGAGUAAAGGAAACCAUAAACAAAAUGAGAAGACAACCCAGAGAUUGGAAGAAAAUAUUUGAAAUGAUGUGACUGACAAGAUAUUAGUCUCCAAAAUUUACAAACAGCUCAUGUGGCUUAAUAUCAUCAAAACAAGCAACCCAAUCAAAAAUGGGUGGAAGACCUAAACAGACAUUUUUCCAAGGAAGACAUAUAGAUGGCCAAGAGGCACAAGAAAAGAUGCUCAAUAUAGCUAAUGAUUAGAGAAAUGCAAAUCAAAACUACAGUGAGGUAUUGCCUCACACCAGUCAAAAUGGCUAUCAACAAAAAAUCCACAAACAGUAAAUGCUGGAGAGGAUGUGGAGAGAAGGAAACCCUCCUACACUGUUGGUGGGAAUGUAGAUUGGCACAGCCACUGUGGAGAACAGUUCAGAGGUUUCUUAAAAAAACUAAAAAUAGAGCUACCAUAUGACCCUGCAAUCCCACUCCUGGGCAUAUAUCCAGAGAAGAGCCUGGCCCAAAAGGAUACAUGAACCCCAAUGUUCAUUGCAGCACUGUUUACAAUAGCCAAGACAUGGAAACAACCUAAAUGUCCAUUGACAGAGGAAUGGGUAAAGAUGUGGUACAUAUAUAGAAUGGAAUAUUACUCAGCCACAUAAAAAUAUUGAAAUAAUGCCAUUUGCAGCCACAUGGAUCGACCUAGAGACUGCCGUACUGAGUAAAGUAAGUCAGACAGAGAAAGAGAAAUAUCAUAUGAUAUCAGUUAUAUGUAGAAUCUAAAAAUAAAUGAUAAAAAUGAACGUAUUUACAAAACAGAAACAGACUUAGAGAAUGAACUUAUGGUUACUGGGGUGGAGGGAAGGGAUAGUUAAGGAGUUUGGGACUGACAUGUACACACUGCUAUAUUUACAAAGGAUAACCAACAAGGACCUACUGUAUAACACAGCAAAGUCUGCUCAAUGUUAUGUGGCAGCCUGGAUGAGAUGGGAGUCUGGGGGAGAAUGGAUACAUGUUUAUGUAUGACUGAGUCACUUUGCUCUGCACCUGAAACUAUCACAACAUUGUUAAUCAGCUCUACUCCAAUAUAAAAUUAAAAGUUAAAAAUAAA